UACGGGGGGGGCAAGCGUUGUUCGGAAUUACUGGGCGUAAAGGGCUCGUAGGGGGUCAACUAAGUCAUACGUGAAAUCCCUCGGCUUAACCGGGGAACUGCGCCUGAUACUGGUUGACUUGAGUUUGGGAGAGGGACGCGGAAUUCCAGGUGUAGCGGUGAAAUGCGUUGAUAUCCUAAGGAACACCGGUGGCGAAAGCGGCUCACUGGAUCUCUUCUGACGCUGAGGCACGAAAGCUAGGGUAGCGAACGGG
This 253-nucleotide ribosomal RNA is filed under the name uncultured bacterium. Its description in RNAcentral is "partial 16S ribosomal RNA". It matches the Rfam family "Bacterial small subunit ribosomal RNA", at positions 524 to 776 of the family's 1533-position model. The record is from RNAcentral.